CGGGUGAGUAACACGUGAGCAACCUGCCUUUCAGAGGGGGAUAACAGUUGGAAACGACUGCUAAUACCGCAUAACGCUGCGAUGGGGCAUCCCGAUGCAGCCAAAGGAGCAAUCCGCUGAAAGAUGGGCUCGCGGCCGAUUAGCUAGUUGGUGGGGCAACGGCCCACCAAGGCGACGAUCGGUAGCCGGACUGAGAGGUUGAUCGGCCACAUUGGGACUGAGACACGGCCCAAACUCCUACGGGAGGCAGCAG
This 253-nucleotide ribosomal RNA is filed under the name uncultured bacterium. Its description in RNAcentral is "partial 16S ribosomal RNA". It matches the Rfam family "Bacterial small subunit ribosomal RNA", at positions 103 to 354 of the family's 1533-position model. The record is from RNAcentral.